CGCAGCUAACGCAUUAAGUGCCCCGCCUGGGGAGUACGAUCGCAAGAUUAAAACUCAAAGAAUCGAACGGGGCACCGCACAAGCAGCGGAGCAUGCGGCUUAAUUCGACGCAACGCGAAGAACCUUACCAAGGCUUGACAUAUACAGGAAUAUGGCAGAGAUGUCAUAGCCGCAAGGUCUGUAUACAGGUGGUGCAUGGUUGUCGUCAGCUCGUGUCGUGAGAUGUUGGGUUAAGUCCCGCAACGAGCGCAACCCUCGUUCUGUGUUGCCAGCAUUUAGUUGGGGACUCACAGGAGACUGCCGGGGUUAACUCGGAGGAAGGUGGGGAUGACGUCAAAUCAUCAUGCCCCUUAUGUCUUGGGCUGCACGCAUGCUACAAUGGCUGGUACAAACGGCUGCGAUACCGCAAGGUGGAGCGAAUCCGAUAAAGCCAGUCUCAGUUCGGAUUGGGGUCCGCAACUCGACCCCAUGAAGUCGGAGUUGCUAGUAAUCGUAGAUCAGCAACGCUACGGUGAAUACGUUCCCGGGGCUUGUACACACCGCCCGUCACGUCACGAAAGUCGGUAACACCCGAAGUCAGUGGCCCAACC
This 590-nucleotide ribosomal RNA is filed under the name uncultured Actinomycetes bacterium. RNAcentral describes it as "bacterial SSU rRNA". It matches the Rfam family "Bacterial small subunit ribosomal RNA", at positions 847 to 1440 of the family's 1533-position model. Lineage: Bacteria; Bacillati; Actinomycetota; Actinomycetes. The record is from RNAcentral.